ACGGAGGGUGCAAGCGUUGUCCGGAAUCAUUGGGCGUAAAGAGUUCGUAGGUGGUAUGUUAAGUCGGGUGUUAAAUCCCGAAGCUCAACUUCGGUUCUGCACCGGAUACUGGCAAACUUGAAUGUGGUAGAGGUAAAGGGAAUUCCUGGUGUAGCGGUGAAAUGCGUAGAUAUCAGGAGGAACACCGGUGGCGAAGGCGGUUUACUGGGCCAUUCUUGACGCUGAGGCGCGAAAGCCGGGGUAGCGAAUGG
RNAcentral lists this ribosomal RNA (251 nucleotides) under uncultured prokaryote. Its description in RNAcentral is "partial 16S rRNA". It matches the Rfam family "Bacterial small subunit ribosomal RNA", at positions 525 to 775 of the family's 1533-position model. The record is from RNAcentral.